GAUAGCUGGAUAUGAUGUAUUAGGUAAAAGGAACUAUGGUCAAGAGGCCUUCAGUGGCAUGGUGGUUUUUCACUUGUUAGGAUGGAGUGGCAACUUUCAACUCCUUACAUGCGAAAUCAGAAACCAGAAGUCCCCCGAUGAAUUUAUGGAAAUUCAAAGAUCCAGGUCAUGUCGUCUGAUCCAAUGCCAACUAGUGAGUAUCGGACAUAACUUCAAACCCGCAG
This is a long non-coding RNA of Symphalangus syndactylus (siamang), 224 nucleotides long. RefSeq lists it as uncharacterized. The record is from RefSeq and is a predicted model, not a curated record. NCBI's taxonomy places the organism in Eukaryota, Metazoa, Chordata, Mammalia, Primates, Hylobatidae.